Molecule: microRNA, 22 nt
Filed under: Homo sapiens (human)
Lineage: Eukaryota; Metazoa; Chordata; Mammalia; Primates; Hominidae
Description: hsa-miR-3674
Source: miRBase by way of RNAcentral
AUUGUAGAACCUAAGAUUGGCC